GAUGAACGCUGGCGGCGUGCCUAAUACAUGCAAGUCGAACGCUGGAAAUCUAGCUUGCUAGAUUGAAGGAGUGGCGAACGGGUGAGUAAUACAUAAGCAACCUACCCACGAAGACUGGGAUAAUCUCUGGAAACGGGGACUAAUACCGGAUAGGUAAUCGGAAGGCAUCUUCUGAUUAUUAAAGGUUAAAAACACUGGUGGAUGGGCUUAUGGCGCAUUAGUUAGUUGGUGAGGUAACGGCCCACCAAGACGAUGAUGCGUAGCCGGCCUGAGAGGGUGAACGGCCACAUUGGGACUGAGACACGGCCCAGACUCCUACGGGAGGCAGCAGUAGGGAAUUUUCGGCAAUGGGGGAAACCCUGACCGAGCAACGCCGCGUGAGUGAUGACGGCCUUCGGGUUGUAAAGCUCUGUUGUAAGGGAAGAACGGUAAUAGAGAAUAUCUAAGUGA
This 450-nucleotide ribosomal RNA is filed under the name Solobacterium sp. oral taxon A05. Its description in RNAcentral is "bacterial SSU rRNA". It matches the Rfam family "Bacterial small subunit ribosomal RNA", at positions 28 to 472 of the family's 1533-position model. Lineage: Bacteria; Bacillati; Bacillota; Erysipelotrichia; Erysipelotrichales; Erysipelotrichaceae. The record is from RNAcentral.